CCUACGGGUGGCAGCAGUCGAGAAUCAUUCACAAUGGGGGAAACCCUGAUGGUGCGACGCCGCGUGGGGGAAUGAAGGUCUUCGGAUUGUAAACCCCUGUCAUGUGGGAGCAAAUUAAAAAGAUAGUACCCCAAGAGGAAGAGACGGCUAACUCUGUGCCAGCAGCCGCGGUAAUACAGAGGUCUCAAGCGUUGUUCGGAAUCACUGGGCGUAAAGCGUGCGUAGGCUGUUUCGUAAGUCGUGUGUGAAAGGCGCGGGCUCAACCCGCGGACGGCACAUGAUACUGCGAGACUAGAGUAAUGGAGGGGGAACCGGGAUGCUCGGUGUAGCAGUGAAAUGCGUAGAUAUCGAGAGGAACACUCGUGGCGAAGGCGGGUUCCUGGACAUUAACUGACGCUGAGGCACGAAGGCCAGGGGAGCGAAAGGGAUUAGAUACCCUAGUAGUC
This 446-nucleotide ribosomal RNA is filed under the name uncultured bacterium. RNAcentral describes it as "partial 16S ribosomal RNA". It matches the Rfam family "Bacterial small subunit ribosomal RNA", at positions 338 to 795 of the family's 1533-position model. The record is from RNAcentral.